This 266-nucleotide long non-coding RNA is filed under the name Elaeis guineensis (African oil palm). RNAcentral's name for it is "long non-coding RNA (EGUI_LNC013804)". Lineage: Eukaryota; Viridiplantae; Streptophyta; Magnoliopsida; Arecales; Arecaceae. The record is from RNAcentral.
CCUUCCACCUCACCGAAUCCCGCUCCAUCCUCCCAAAGUCCGGUGCAGGUCCAACUUGUAAUAUUAUGCCACUGCUGAUCGAAUUGUCUGGAAAAACCUACUCGGUAGGUAUUAGUAUUUUAGACAACGCUUUCAUUUUAAUCUAUGUAAUGUUAUAUGUAUAUAUAACUGAGACCCGUGGAAGCUUGGCCCGAUGCAUAAUGGAGUGGGUUGAACCGGCGCCUCUUGUCUCAAGACAAGAAGACGCUCAUCCCAUUUCUCGAAUA